Oncorhynchus masou masou (cherry salmon) is the source of this 1122-nucleotide long non-coding RNA. RefSeq lists it as uncharacterized. NCBI's taxonomy places the organism in Eukaryota, Metazoa, Chordata, Actinopteri, Salmoniformes, Salmonidae. The record is from RefSeq and is a predicted model, not a curated record. The transcript is spliced from 3 exons.
CCCAUGGUAACCACUUCAGCACAGAGGCGAGUGAGUGAGUGGGUAGGGUUUCAGCUGUUCAGCGAGUGCUCUCUGGUGAUCUCGCAGAGAUAGUAGUCUAGAGCCUGUCGUCUAGGACACUGCAGGACCGCUUUGAAGAGCUCAUCAAAUGGCAAAGCUGAACCACACGGCAACUGAAUAGAGCUCCCUUUCAAAUAGGAAAUGACUUGUUGAUUUAUCCAAAUCUACAGAAUGCCUCACAUGACUUUGAUAUAGACACUCACCUGAAGAUAGUAAGGUGGUUGGAGAAGAAGACAGUUAGUUGCAACUUGCCCGAGGCAACCCCCCCCCCCCUCCCUGUCAAAAGUUAGGUCGUAAGGAUUUCUAUACCUUACGAUUCGCUUUUCAUCUUUCUCCCGAUGAAUAUUGGAAUUUCGUAGUGGAUAAAAAUCGAAUAAACACUUACAACAAAAAUGGAAGAAGAUCAAAAGUGGGGAGUUGUUGAUAAAAGUGUGCGGAUGACUUGCAGUGACCACCGUUGCAAAAAGCGCUUUUGGACGAAUUGGAAAGAUUUGUCCGGUAUAACUGUCUGUAUCGCAUUAUCUUUAUUGUCUCUUGGAUUUUGCGUUCUCGUUUACCUGAGUACAUCGGAGCUGAAGUCCAGGAUACUAAACCUGGAAAAACAGAGAGAUACGCAGCUCUCCUCGUGGAUCACACUCGAGCAGGUGGAACCCGUUGUUUUUGGACGAAUAGAUCAGAUUCUGGAAGAGAAAUUGGCGGCUCGACUUCCCAAAACACGAGAGACCAGAGAAGCGCCCCAUAGCUGUGUCUGUCCACCAGGACCUCCUGUAAGUAGAGCUGAUACCUUGUGUGACCAUGCAGAGAGUGGUAAAGUGACUGUGUUUUUGUGUUUGGGAGUGGUUUUUUGUGUGUGCAAUGGGUAUAUGUAAGUCCUUAAAGGUACAGUGAUAUCUCUGUUUGAUGGUACCUAAUCUUGCCUAAAUGCACCCUUUUGGUGCUGCUGUGUGGUGUGUUUGCAGAGACCUUGUAAAGAGCGGCAACAUGAUGGUUUUGAAGGCAUAUCAUUGAGCAUAUCAAGGCAAUUCGUUAAACAUGGUCAUUAUAGUCAACUUGCGUUGUUUG